CGCGGCCUAUCAGCUUGUUGGUGAGGUAAAGGCUCACCAAGGCAUCGACGGGUAGCUGGUCUGAGAGGACGAUCAGCCACACUGGGACUGAGACACGGCCCAGACUCCUACGGGAGGCAGCAGUAGGGAGUCUUGCGCAAUGGGCGAAAGCCUGACGCAGCAACGCCGCGUGGGGGAAGAAGGCUCUAGGGUCGUAAACCCCUUUCAGCAGGGACGAAAAUGACGGUACCUGCAGAAGAAGCGCCGGCCAACUACGUGCCAGCAGCCGCGGUAAUACGUAGGGAGCGAGCGUUGUCCGGAAUUAUUGGGCGUAAAGAGCUCGUAGGCGGUUUGUCACGUCUGCUGUGAAAAUCCAAGGCUCAACCUUGGACUUGCAGUGGGUACGGGCAGGCUAGAGUGCGGUAGGGGAGAUGGGAAUUCCUGGUGUAGCGGUGGAAUGCGCAGAUAUUAGGAGGAACACCAGUGGCGAAGGCGCCGCUCUGGGCCGUAACUGACGCUGAGGAGCGAAAGCGUGGGGAGCGAACAGGAUUAGAUACCCUGGUAGUCCACGCCGUAAACGGUGGGAACUAGAUGUGGGGUCCGUUCCACGGAUUCCGUGUCGCAGCUAACGCAUUAAGUUCCCCGCCUGGGGAGUACGG
RNAcentral lists this ribosomal RNA (638 nucleotides) under uncultured Actinomycetes bacterium. RNAcentral describes it as "bacterial SSU rRNA". It matches the Rfam family "Bacterial small subunit ribosomal RNA", at positions 232 to 885 of the family's 1533-position model. The record is from RNAcentral. Lineage: Bacteria; Bacillati; Actinomycetota; Actinomycetes.